This 253-nucleotide ribosomal RNA is filed under the name uncultured bacterium. RNAcentral's name for it is "partial 16S ribosomal RNA". It matches the Rfam family "Bacterial small subunit ribosomal RNA", at positions 524 to 776 of the family's 1533-position model. The record is from RNAcentral.
UACAGGGGGUGCAAACGUUGCUCGGAAUCAUUGGGCGUAAAGCGCACGUAGGCGGUUUGUUAUGUCGGAUGUGAAAGCCCUUGGCUUAACUGAGGAAGUGCAUCCGAAACUGGCAGGCUAGAGUACUAAAGAGGGUCGCGGAAUUCCCGGUGUAGAGGUGAAAUUCGUAGAUAUCGGGAGGAACACCGGUGGCGAAGGCGGAUCUCUGGGCCAUUACUGACGCUGAGGAGCGAAAGCGUGGGGAGCGAACAGG